RNAcentral lists this ribosomal RNA (468 nucleotides) under uncultured bacterium. RNAcentral's name for it is "partial 16S ribosomal RNA". It matches the Rfam family "Bacterial small subunit ribosomal RNA", at positions 28 to 507 of the family's 1533-position model. The record is from RNAcentral.
GACGAACGCUGGCGGCGUGCUUAACACAUGCCAGUCGAACGGAAAGGCGCGGCUUUUGUGGGGCGCUCGAGUGGCGAACAGGGGAGUAAAACGCGAGGAACCUGCCCUUGUCUUUCUGAUAACUUCAGGAAACUGGGGCUAAUAUCCGGUAGGAGCUCCUGCUGCAUGUGGGGGGUUGGAAAGUUUCGGCGGUUGGGGAUGGACUCGCGGCUUAUCAGCUUGUUGGGGGGGUAGUGGCUUACCAAGGCUUUGACGGGUAGCCGGCAUGAGAGGGUGACCGGCCACAGUGGGACUGAGAUACGGACCAGAACCCAACGGGAGGCAGCAGUGGAGAAUAUUGCAAAAUGGGCGGAAGCCUGAUGUAGCAACGCCGCGUGCGGGAUGACGGGCUUCGGGUUGUAAACCGCUUUCGCCUGUGACGAACCGUGAGUGACGGUAAUGGGUAAAGAAGCACCGGCUAACUACGUG